This 253-nucleotide ribosomal RNA is filed under the name uncultured bacterium. Its description in RNAcentral is "partial 16S ribosomal RNA". It matches the Rfam family "Bacterial small subunit ribosomal RNA", at positions 524 to 776 of the family's 1533-position model. The record is from RNAcentral.
UACGUAGGGGGCAAGCGUUGUCCGGAAUUAUUGGGCGUAAAGAGCGCGUAGGCGGUCCGAUAAGUCGGCUGUGAAAGUCAGGGGCUCAACCCUUGAAAGCCGGCCGAUACUGUCGGACUAGAGUCCGGAAGAGGCAAGUGGAAUUCCCGGUGUAGCGGUGAAAUGCGCAGAUAUCGGGAGGAACACCGGUGGCGAAGGCGGGUCUCUGGGCCGAUAUUGACGCUGAGGAGCGAAAGCGUGGGGAGCGAACAGG